This 425-nucleotide ribosomal RNA is filed under the name Leptodactylus mystaceus group sp. ABGD cluster 51. RNAcentral describes it as "partial large subunit ribosomal RNA". It matches the Rfam family "Bacterial large subunit ribosomal RNA", at positions 1822 to 2457 of the family's 2925-position model. Lineage: Eukaryota; Metazoa; Chordata; Amphibia; Anura; Leptodactylidae. The record is from RNAcentral.
CUUGAUAAACUUAUAAGAGGUCCAGCCUGCCCAGUGACUCUGUUCAACGGCCGCGGUAUCCUAACCGUGCGAAGGUAGCGUAAUCACUUGUUCUUUAAAUGAGGACUAGUAUGAAUGGCACCACGAAGGUUAUACUGUCUCCUUUUUCUAAUCAGUGAAACUAAUCUUCCCGUGAAGAAGCGGGAAUAAAAAUAUAAGACGAGAAGACCCUAUGGAGCUUUAAACAAAUAUACACCUGCCUACGCACCAAAAAUUUCAGAAGAUAAAUAAUUACCCAGGCAUUUUGAUAUAGAGUUUUAGGUUGGGGUGACCACGGAGCAAAAAACAACCUCCGCAAUGAACGGGAAUACUCCCUAAACCAAGGGCCACAACCCCAAGUAUUGAUAAAUCAACACCAAUUGACCCAAUAAGUUUGAUCAAUGAAC